AACGAACGCUGGCGGCAUGCCUAACACAUGCGAGUCGAACGAGAUCUUCGGGUCUAGUGGCGCACGGGUGCGUAACGCGUGGGAAUCUGCCCUUUGGUCCGGAAUAACAGUUGGAAACGACUGCUAAUACCGGAUGAUGACGAAAGUCCAAAGAUUUAUCGCCAGAGGAUGAGCCCGCGUAGGAUUAGCUAGUUGGUGUGGUAAAGGCGCACCAAGGCGACGAUCCUUAGCUGGUCUGAGAGGAUGAUCAGCCACACUGGGACUGAGACACGGCCCAGACUCCUACGGGAGGCAGCAGUGGGGAAUAUUGGACAAUGGGCGAAAGCCUGAUCCAGCAAUGCCGCGUGAGUGAUGAAGGCCUUAGGGUUGUAAAGCUCUUUUACCCGGGAUGAUAAUGACAGUACCGGGAGAAUAAGCUCCGGCUAACUCCGUGCCAGCCGCCGCGGUAA
Molecule: ribosomal RNA, 449 nt
Filed under: uncultured bacterium
Lineage: Bacteria
Description: partial 16S ribosomal RNA
Rfam family: Bacterial small subunit ribosomal RNA
Source: RNAcentral